RNAcentral lists this ribosomal RNA (301 nucleotides) under uncultured bacterium. RNAcentral describes it as "partial 16S ribosomal RNA". It matches the Rfam family "Bacterial small subunit ribosomal RNA", at positions 509 to 809 of the family's 1533-position model. The record is from RNAcentral.
CAGCAGCCGCGGUAAUACGUAGGUGGCAAGCGUUGUCCGGAAUUAUUGGGCGUAAAGGGCUCGCAGGCGGUUUCUUAAGUCUGAUGUGAAAGCCCCCGGCUCAACCGGGGAGGGUCAUUGGAAACUGGGAAACUUGAGUGCAGAAGAGGAGAGUGGAAUGCCACGUGUAGCGGUGAAAUGCGUAGAGAUGUGGAGGAACACCAGUGGCGAAGGCGACUCUCUGGUCUGUAACUGACGCUGAGGAGCGAAAGCGUGGGGAGCGAACAGGAUUAGAUACCCCCGUAGUCCCUGUCUCUUAUAA